Molecule: ribosomal RNA, 429 nt
Filed under: uncultured prokaryote
Description: bacterial SSU rRNA
Rfam family: Bacterial small subunit ribosomal RNA
Source: RNAcentral
UGGAGAAUCUUCCGCAAUGGACGAAAGUCUGACGGAGCCACGCCGCGUGAGGGACGACGGCCUUCGGGUUGUAAACCUCUUUCAGCAGGGAAGAAGCGCAAGUGACGGUACCUGCACAAGAAGCCCCGGCCAACUACGUGCCAGCAGCCGCGGUAAUACGUAGGGGGCGAGCGUUGUCCGGAAUUAUUGGGCGUAAAGGGCGCGUAGGCGGCCCUGUAAGUCGGCAGUGAAAUCCCGAGGCUCAACCUCGGAACUGCUGUCGAUACUGCAGGGCUUGAGGAAGGUAGAGGAGAGUGGAAUUCCCGGUGUAGCGGUGGAAUGCGCAGAUAUCGGGAGGAACACCUGCGGCGAAGGCGGCUCUCUGGGCCUUACCUGACGCUGAGGCGCGAAAGCAUGGGGAGCAAACAGGAUUAGAUACCCCCGUAGUCC